This 395-nucleotide ribosomal RNA is filed under the name uncultured bacterium. RNAcentral describes it as "bacterial SSU rRNA". It matches the Rfam family "Bacterial small subunit ribosomal RNA", at positions 8 to 429 of the family's 1533-position model. The record is from RNAcentral.
AGAGUUUGAUCCUGGCUCAGAACGAACGCUGGCGGCAGGCCUCAAACAUGCAAGUCUAGGGGGCGUAGCAAUACGUCACCGGCGGACGGGUGCGUAACACGUGGGAAUGUACCUACUGGUUCGGAACAACUCAGGGAAACUUGAGCUAAUACCGGAUAAGCCCUUACGGGGAAAGGUUUAUCGCCAGUAGAUCAGCCCGCGUCCGAUUAGCUAGUUGGUGAGGUAAAGGCUCACCAAGGCGACGAUCGGUAGCUGUUCUGAGAGGAAGAUCAGCCACACUGGGACUGAGACACGGCCCAGACUCCUACGGGAGGCAGCAGUUGGGAAUCUUGGACAAUGGGGGAAACCCUGAUCCAGCCAUGCCGCGUGAGUGAUGAAGGCCUUCGGGUUGUAAA